Molecule: ribosomal RNA, 160 nt
Filed under: bacterium 070406
Lineage: Bacteria
Also listed under: 2 other names
Description: partial 16S rRNA
Rfam family: Bacterial small subunit ribosomal RNA
Source: RNAcentral
UGGGGAAUAUUGCACAAUGGGCGCAAGCCUGAUGCAGCCAUGCCGCGUGUAUGAAGAAGGCCUUCGGGUUGUAAAGUACUUUCAGCGGGGAGGAAGGUGUUGUGGUUAAUAACCACAGCAAUUGACGUUACCCGCAGAAGAAGCACCGGCUAACUCCGUG